CGUGUAGGCGGCCAGACAGGUCAGCUGUGAAAACUCGAGGCUCAACCUCGAGGCGUCGGUUGAAACCGUUUGGCUAGAGUCCGGAAGAGGAGAGUGGAAUUCCCGGUGUAGCGGUGAAAUGCGCAGAUAUCGGGAAGAACACCCGUGGCGAAGGCGGCUCUCUGGGACGGUACUGACGCUGAGACGCGAAAGCGUGGGGAGCGAACA
Molecule: ribosomal RNA, 207 nt
Filed under: uncultured bacterium
Lineage: Bacteria
Description: partial 16S ribosomal RNA
Rfam family: Bacterial small subunit ribosomal RNA
Source: RNAcentral